GAGCCCGUUAAUGGGUGAGAGCGUGCCUUUUGUAGAAUGAACCGGCGAGUUACGUUAUGAUGCGAGGUUAAGUUGAAGAGACGGAGCCGUAGGGAAACCGAGUCUGAAUAGGGCGACUUAGUAUCAUGAUGUAGACCCGAAACCUAGUGACCUAUCCAUGAGCAGGGUGAAGGUGUGGUAAGACGCACUGGAGGCCCGAACCAGGACACGUUGAAAAGUGUUUGGAUGACUUGUGGAUAGCGGAGAAAUUCCAAACGAACUGGGAGAUAGCUGGUUCUCUCCGAAAUAGCUUUAGGGCUAGCGUCGAAAUGUAAGUGUAUUGGAGGUAGAGCACUGUUUGGGUGAGGGGUCCGUCUAGGAUUACCAAUCUCAGAUAAACUCCGAAUGCUAAUACACAUGUUCGGCAGUCAGACUGCGAGUGCUAAGAUCCGUAGUCGAAAGGGAAACAGCCCAGACCAACAGCUAAGGUCCCAAAAUAUAUGUUAAGUGGAAAAGGAUGUGGGGUUGCACAGACAACUAGGAUGUUAGCUCAGAAGCAGCUAUCAUUCAAAGAGUGCGUAAUAGCUCACUAGUCGAGUGACCCUGCGCCGAAAAUGUACCGGGGCUAAACAUAUUACCGAAGCUUUGGAUUGAUAUUUUAUCAAUGGUAGGAGAGCGUUCUUAACCGCGAUGAAGGUAUACCGUGAGGAGUGCUGGAGCGUUAAGAAGUGAGAAUGCCGGUAUGAGUAGCGCAAGAUAAGUGAGAAUCUUAUCCACCGUAAGACUAAGGUUUCCAGGGGAAGGCUCGUCCGCCCUGGGUUAGUCGGGACCUAAGGCGAGGCCGAAAGGCGUAGUCGAUGGACAACUGGUUGAUAUUCCAGUACUAGAUAUGAUCGUGAUGGAGGGACGCAGUAGGCUAAGAGAUGCCAGUUAAUGGAUUCUGGUCUAAGCAGUGAGGUGUGAGAUGUGUCAAAUGCAUUUCUCUCUAACAUUGAGCUGUGAUGGGGAAGCAACUACGGUUGCGAACUCUCUGAUGUCACACUGCCAAGAAAAGCUUCUAGCGUAAAGUCAUAUCUACCCGUACCGCAAACCGACACAGGUAGUCGAGGCGAGUAGCCUCAGGUGAUCGAGAGAACUCUCGUUAAGGAACUCGGCAAAAUAGCCCCGUAACUUCGGGAGAAGGGGUGCUGGUGUAAAAGCCAGCCGCAGUGAAUAGGCCCAAGCAACUGUUUAUCAAAAACACAGCUCUCUGCUAAACCGCAAGGUGAUGUAUAGGGGGUGACGCCUGCCCGGUGCUGGAAGGUUAAGAGGAGUGCUUAGACGUAAGUCGAAGGUAUGAAUUGAAGCCCCAGUAAACGGCGGCCGUAACUAUAACGGUCCUAAGGUAGCGAAAUUCCUUGUCGGGUAAGUUCCGACCCGCACGAAAGGCGUAAUGAUUUGGGCACUGUCUCAACGAGAGACUCGGUGAAAUUUUAGUACCUGUGAAGAUGCAGGUUACCCGCGACAGGACGGAAAGACCCCAUGGAGCUUUACUGUAGUUUGAUAUUGAGUACCUGUAAGUCAUGUACAGGAUAGGUAGGAGCCAUUGAAAUAGGGACGCUAGUUUCUAUUGAGGCGUUGUUGGGAUACUACCCUUGACUUAUGGUUACUCUAACCCGCUGGCAUAAUCGGCCAGGGAGACAGUGUCUGACGGACAGUUUGACUGGGGCGGUCGCCUCCUAAAGAGUAACGGAGGCGCUCAAAGGUUGGCUCAGAUUGGUUGGAAAUCAAUCGUAGAGUGUAAAGGUAAAAGCCAGCUUGACUGCGAGAGCUACAACUCGAGCAGGUAGGAAACUAGGACUUAGUGAUCCGGUGGUACCGCAUGGAAGGGCCAUCGCUCAACGGAUAAAAGCUACCCUGGGGAUAACAGGCUUAUCUCCCCCAAGAGUUCACAUCGACGGGGAGGUUUGGCACCUCGAUGUCGGCUCGUCGCAUCCUGGGGCUGUAGUCGGUCCCAAGGGUUGGGCUGUUCGCCCAUUAAAGCGGCACGCGAGCUGGGUUCAGAACGUCGUGAGACAGUUCGGUCCCUAUCCGUCGCGGGCGUAGGUAAUUUGAGAGGAUCUGUCCUUAGUACGAGAGGACCGGGAUGGACUUACCGCUGGUGUACCAGUUGUUCCGCCAGGAGCACGGCUGGAUAGCUAUGUAGGGAAGGGAUAAGCGCUGAAAGCAUCUAAGUGCGAAGCCCACCUCAAGAUGAGAUUACCCAUUCGU
RNAcentral lists this ribosomal RNA (2229 nucleotides) under human gut metagenome. RNAcentral's name for it is "bacterial LSU rRNA". It matches the Rfam family "Bacterial large subunit ribosomal RNA", at positions 577 to 2821 of the family's 2925-position model. The record is from RNAcentral.